GCUUAUGUGGUGUAUUAGAGCACUUAAGGUUUUCAUUCUUAAAGAGGGAUUACUUUCCUAUAAGCU
Molecule: transfer RNA, 66 nt
Filed under: Bathymodiolus aduloides
Lineage: Eukaryota; Metazoa; Mollusca; Bivalvia; Mytilida; Modiolidae
Description: tRNA-Glu
Source: RNAcentral